GCGAGAAUGUAAACCAGUAACCACACUACUUAAGAUGAAGAGCACGGUCAAGCGCAGACAGUCGUUCCAGCUCCUCAUCCUGCUAUGCGACAUAGAAGAUGCGGCGGAGACAACAAGAUUACAUAUCAGCUAUCUGCCAGUAGCUUUGAAAAAGGAAAUGAAGCACAGAAGGAGUACGGCACUCCUUGAAGCAGGUGACAUGAUGGCAAAAGAAAGAUUUGCCUUUUCUGCAAGAGACGUCGACACCGAGGUUUGUCCUUAAGACCCUAGUAGUAGACGAUGAGAUCAGGGAGGAAAAGCCAAACAUUCGCUGAGGUAUACCAUGGAAGCCGUCAUUUGAGCUAAAGAGACAGAG
RNAcentral lists this long non-coding RNA (355 nucleotides) under Brassica napus (rape). RNAcentral describes it as "long non-coding RNA (BNAP_LNC023250)". The record is from RNAcentral. Lineage: Eukaryota; Viridiplantae; Streptophyta; Magnoliopsida; Brassicales; Brassicaceae.